CUGCAUGUAGCACCCCGGGCUUCUCUGAAAAUACAAAUUGGAUGAAGAAGAAAGCCCCAAUGCUCGUGCUAAAUUAGAUAUACAGCCGUCAAGUGUUGCAGUUCAGCCUGUUUGUACCUUUUUCCAUGGCCGUUUCUGUGUCAAAUCGACGGCUACAGAU
Molecule: small nucleolar RNA, 160 nt
Organism: Lactuca sativa (garden lettuce)
Lineage: Eukaryota; Viridiplantae; Streptophyta; Magnoliopsida; Asterales; Asteraceae
Product: small nucleolar RNA snoR134
Source: RefSeq, a predicted model, not a curated record